AACCAGCACUAUCUUUUGAAGAUUUCCUACCUCCAGCUCGCAGAACAAAAAAAAAAAACCAUAGGAAGCCUCCAUGAAGUUAUAUUUUUAGCACGUAGGCGCCAUGGGUGACGAAUCGUGCUUGCUGCUGGCACGAGUCCGCAGUAUCUUUCGAAGAUUUCUACCUCAAGC
This is a non-coding RNA of Glossina pallidipes, 171 nucleotides long. Lineage: Eukaryota; Metazoa; Arthropoda; Insecta; Diptera; Glossinidae. The record is from Rfam.